CAGCCGCCGCUGUAAUACCGGCGGCCCGAGUGGCGGUCACUAUUAUUGGGCUUAAAACGUCCGUAGCCGGGUUGGGAAGGCCUCCGGGAAAUCUGGCCGCUUAACGGUCAGAAUUCCGGGAGAUACUCCCAGCCUAGGGAGCGGGGGAGGCCGAGGGGAUUCCCGGAGUAGGGGGGAAAUCCUAUAAUCCCGGGAGGACCACCUGUGGCGAAGGCGCUCGGCUGGCACGCGUCCGACGGUGAGGGACGAAGGCCAGGGGAGCAAACCGGAUUAGAUACCCGGGUAGUCCUGGCUGUAAACGAUGCGGACUUUGUGUCGGACAAGCUAUGAGCUUGUCCGGUGCCGGAGGGAAACCGUUAAGUCCGCCGCCUGGGGAGUACGGCCGCAAGGCUGAAACUUAAAGGAAUUGGCGGG
This 414-nucleotide ribosomal RNA is filed under the name uncultured microorganism. RNAcentral's name for it is "bacterial SSU rRNA". It matches the Rfam family "Archaeal small subunit ribosomal RNA", at positions 459 to 872 of the family's 1478-position model. The record is from RNAcentral.